This 536-nucleotide ribosomal RNA is filed under the name uncultured bacterium. RNAcentral describes it as "bacterial SSU rRNA". It matches the Rfam family "Bacterial small subunit ribosomal RNA", at positions 391 to 943 of the family's 1533-position model. The record is from RNAcentral.
GCAACGCCGCGUGGGUGAUGAAGGCCCUCGGGUCGUAAAGCCCUUUUCCCAGGGACGAUAGUGACGGUACCUGGGGAAUCAGCCCCGGCUAACUACGUGCCAGCAGCCGCGGUAAUACGUAGGGGGCAAGCGUUGUCCGGAUUUAUUGGGCGUAAAGCGCUCGCAGGUGGUUCGUUGCGUCGUGCGUGAAAGACCCCGGCUCAACUGGGGAGUGUCGUGCGAUACGGGCGGACUGGAGGCCAGUAGGGGGAUGCGGAAUUCCGGGUGUAGUGGUGGAAUGCGUAGAGAUCCGGAGGAACACCAGCGGCGAAGGCGGCAUCCUGGACUGGUUCUGACACUCAUGAGCGAAAGCGUGGGGAGCGAUCCGGAUUAGAUACCCGGGUAGUCCACGCUGUAAACGAUGAGUACUAGGUGUCGGGGGUAUCGACCCCUCGGUGCCCGCAGCUAACGCGAUAAGUACUCCGCCUGGGGACUACGGCCGCAAGGCUAAAACUCAAAGGAAUUGACGGGGGCCCGCACAAGCAGCGGAGCGUGUG